AACGGCUCUCUCGGGAGCUUUC
RNAcentral lists this small nuclear RNA (22 nucleotides) under Arabidopsis thaliana (thale cress). Its description in RNAcentral is "snRNA_12726". The record is from RNAcentral. Lineage: Eukaryota; Viridiplantae; Streptophyta; Magnoliopsida; Brassicales; Brassicaceae.